RNAcentral lists this unclassified non-coding RNA (3446 nucleotides) under Hevea brasiliensis (rubber tree). Lineage: Eukaryota; Viridiplantae; Streptophyta; Magnoliopsida; Malpighiales; Euphorbiaceae. The record is from RNAcentral.
UUCUUGAUAUUGCAUGUUUCUUCACUGGGUAUGAUAAGGACUAUGUCAUAAGCAUACUGGAAGAAUGCGGCUUCUUUCCCGUUAACGGCAUUAAUUCUCUGAUGAGGAGGUGUCUAGUAAAAGUUGGCUCUAAUAACAAGUUGUCGAUGCAUGAUUUGCUUCGGGACUUGGGAAGAGAAACCGUUCGGAAAGAGCAUGUUGUAGAUCCUGGAGAACGUAGUAGAUUAUGGCAUCAUGAAGAUGUAAUUGAUGUUUUAACAAAUAAAACGGGUACAAGAGCAGUUGAAGGCCUUGUUCUGAACAUGCCAGGAUUAAAACAGUACUCAUCGAGUACCAAGACAUUCAAAAAGAUGAAAAUGCUAAGACUGCUUCAACUCAACUAUAUACACCUAGCAGGAGACUACAAGCAUAUUUCUAACAAGUUAAGAUGGUUGUGUUGGCGUGAAUUUCCUUUGGAAUCUAUACCAUUUGAUCUCAGUCUGGAAAAUCUGGUUAUUCUUGAUAUGCGAUAUAGCAGUCUGAAACAUUUUGUGGAGGCAGGAAAGUCUCUAAAGAAGCUGAAAUUGCUUAAUCUUAACCACUCUCACAAGCUUAUUGAGAUCCCAGACUUUGAAGGUUGCCAAAAUCUUCAGAAAUUGAUGCUGAAAGAUUGCAUUAGAUUGGAAAGGGUUGGUGACUCCAUUGGACUUCUCACUAAUCUUGUUUUCCUGAAUUUUCAAGAUUGCAAGAGCCUUAGGAAUCUUCCAGGAAGUGUUGGUGGUCUAAGAACGCUGGAGAAGCUUGAUAUGUCGGGCUGCUCAAAACUUGAAGAGAUGCCCGAGUCCAUUGGACUUCUAACUCACCUUAUUCUGUUGAAUUUGCAAAACUGUGAGAAACUUGAGAACCUUCCAGGAAGCAUUGGCAAUCUAAAAUCUCUUCAGGAGCUAAACAUGUCAGGCUGCUCCAAACUUGAGCAGUUGCCCGAGUCCACUGGAUUUCUAACAUGCCUCACUUCAUUGAAUUUGCAUGAUUGCGAGAACCUUAAGAGUCUUCCAGGGAGCAUUGGUGAUCUAAACUCACUUGAGAAGCUAGACAUGUCAGGCUGCUCAAAACUUGAAGAUUUGCCAGAAUCCACUGGACAUUUUAAUUCCCUUGUUUUCUGGAAUUUGCAAGAUUGCAAGAAUCUUAAGAAUUUCCCUGCAAAAAUUUUUGGUCUAAGAUCACUGAAGGAGUUAAACAUGUCAGGCUGCUCAAAAUUCAAGGAAUUGCCUGAGGACCUGGGGAAGUUGAAAUCCUUGGUUGUUCUUAAUCUUGAUGGAACUGGAAUAAACAUCCUACCUGAAACAAUUAGAAAUAUGAAAAAUCUUGAAAUUUUGUCUUUAUCUGAAUGUCCUCUUAUCUUUUCACCCGAAAACUGUCCUCAGAUCAUCAGCAUUUUACCUUUUUCUUUAAAAGAGUUGGAUAUCAGAUAUUGUAACAUAUUAGAUGGUAUAAUUCCCCAUGCUUUUCGAGGCUUGUCUUCUUUGAAAGUGCUGAAAUUAUGUGGCAAUGGUUUCACAAGCUUUCCAGCUAGUAUCAUUAGCCUUCCUAAUCUUGGACAGCUUCAUUUAAAUUCAUGCAAAGGGCUUCGAUCUAUACCCCAACUUCAGUCAAGUGUAAAAGGUUUGUAUGCUAAUGAUUGUUUGUCAUUGGAAAGUAUUAAUCUAACAAAUUUUCAUGGGGAAUCAGCUCUGGAGGUCAAAGGUUGCGUGAAUUUAAAAGGAAUUGAAGGCUUUUUCAACUUGGAACCAUUGGAAGUUGAUAUUGCUGGAAAACUUCUUGGAAGCAAUAGCUCAUUCAUCCAAGAAUCAGUUACAAACUAUUCUGUCCGCAAAAUUGACAAUCUUGUAGUAGCUAAUGCGAUGUGUCCACCGCAGGCUCUUUCUGAGAGGGGCUUAUACAGCAUCUUCCUACCAGGAAAUGAGAUUCCAACGUGGUUCGGCGAUCUACAUAAAGGCAAUAUUGUAUCCUUUCACGUGCCUCGACUUGAUCCAGGUUCAAUCAUCAUUGGAGUUGUUACAUAUGCUACUUACGCAUGGGGAAGAUAUCAAACGGACCUCCUAACAAAACAGAAAUCUUGUUACACUUGUCCUUGUCUCACGAUCACUAAUAAAACCAAACUGUUUGAAUGGAUCUAUGAUCCUCAUAUCACCUUCUUUUCAAGAGAUGUUGAGCAAGAUAUCAGUUGGUUGUGCUAUUGGAUGUUUGAUAAUCAUAAGAGGGGAACUGAUCAAUAUGAUGCGGGUUGGCGAUUUAAGGAUGAGUUGGAAGAAGGGGAUGAAGUGGAAUUUUCUAUUGACUUGGGUUUUGGAAUUAAUGUAAAAAAGUGUGGCAUCCACUUGCUUUACCAGGCUAAAGACCAUGGCGCACAAUCAGAUGAUCUAGCAAUCGUUUCUUAUGCCUCAUCCAGACAUCAUAGAAGGUUCUUACGAUCUCGUCCUCGAUUGUUAACAAUGAAGAGCAACCAAGAAAUAACAGUGAAUGAUACAGGAACUCCCAUCAGGGAUAAGGAAUUUUUGCAGUGGACAAAGUAUAGGGAUCAAAAAUUGGACGAGACUGUUGCUAUGAAUAGGACAAUAUAUGAAAGAGGCUAACUGAAUAGGCUAUCAACCUGAAAAUAAGGAUCUGGAAGCGUCCUUACCAAGUUUCUCCAUUUGGUGGAUUUGCAAAUACUUCUGGCAAGGGGAAUUAGGAAGGUAAACAAUUGCUUGUUAUUCUCUCUAUGUGACUUUCUAUUUCUCUCUUGUAUUAGUGGUUGGUUUGAUUUUGAUGCUAGACUGCUUGAAUUAUUUAAAACUAGUGGUGAGGUUUAACUAUAAUUACUAAUACCUCUGCUAUUUUCAAAUUGAAUUAUAACCCUCUUACUAUUUAAUUUUAUCAGGGAUCUUCGGUUUUUUAAAAUUGAAUUACAAUUCCCUAAUGAAGGGGUCUUCUAAUUUGAUAAAACUGAAAUAGCAAGGGUCAUAAUUAAAUUCUAAAAUAGGAGGUAUGCUAAUAAUUAUGUUUAAACCUCAAGAGCUUUUAGUUAUUCACCUUAAAACUAGAUGAGAUCUCUUGUUAUGUCAAACUGACCAAUCAUAUUAUAGAUAGAUAUUAAAUCUUUGUUAUAACUUGUAGUGAAUAAAUAAUGUAAUUAUCAAUAGCUCUUUUUUCCAAUCAUUGAAGGAAAACUGCAUUGCUAAAUUAUUUCUAAUUGAUAUAUAUUCGCUAUACAAAUAAAUUACAUUCUAUGAAAAAAAUUAGCUAUGCGCGAAAUAAAGGGCAAGGCUUAUCAGUCCUAAUUUUCUUACCUAGCAGUAUACUAAACGUAGUUCAGAAAUUUUUUUAGAUGUAUAUGGGAGAAAGGAAAAAAAAAUGAUGGAAGAUGUUUAAUAAAACUAAGAAUUAAGAAAAUCAGAGAAUGUCUUCUUUUAGAAUUAUUUUUUUUU